This is a long non-coding RNA of Carcharodon carcharias (great white shark), 216 nucleotides long. RefSeq lists it as uncharacterized. Lineage: Eukaryota; Metazoa; Chordata; Chondrichthyes; Lamniformes; Lamnidae. The transcript has 3 exons. The record is from RefSeq and is a predicted model, not a curated record.
CGGAGAGCUGGAGAAUUUGUCAAUUUCACGGGCUGGUCGAUUUCAGUCCGUGUGAGUUUCUGUCCUGGGUUUGUAUCACUGAAUGUGCCAGGAAACAUGAAAACAGAAGAGACUCCCACGUGUCUGAAACAACAAACACUCGAUCCCGGCUCAGAGCAGGAACCAGACCAGAUGUGUGCGGGCUGCAAAGUUCCCAUCACUGACCGCUAUCUCCUA